UUAUGAGACUAAAAAAAAUUGAACGAUUUGUCAAAAAGUUAAGUUUCUUAAACUGGUUAAUUACAUCAUAAUUUCUAAUUGUAUAUAUUCUUUCAAGAACAUGCUUUGCCAUAUAUAUUGACUAAAAAUACUAGAAACGCCUAUUAAUAAAAUGAACAAUAUUUUUUUUACAUUAAAUAGAGUGUAGCUGGCGAGUGACGACGAAUGCAUACGCAAUUGAUUAUUGAAUCGGAGUCUAAAGAAGUUAGUAGACGAAGAAGCCGAUGUUUGCUAAGUUUGGUUCGUUUAUCCUUUUGGACGUUUGACUCGGUUGCAGGAUUUGCCUAGUUGAUGUUAGCUAGGCAUGACACUAGUUUUGCUUUUGGGCCUUUGUUUCAAACACAGACAAACAAUAAUAUUUGGGACCCAGCACGCCUAUUUUUGAAGAAAAAAAUAAGUUUCUUUUUUUUUUUGUUGGCCCAUAAUAGGAGGAGAAGAAGAAGAAAUUUGUGGUUGACUAUCCAUGAAAUGGGGAGAUGGUUUUCUAGAAAUGGUUUUCCAGAAAUGGUUUUCCAGUUUGGGAUAUGCAGACUUUUAUUAUUAACCAUGGAAUGUUGAAGAGCAAGAAACGUUGAAUAACUAUGCAGAUGAAAGAGUAAUUGGGAAAAAAGUUGCAGAGUUGAGGGAAAAGAAAAGAAGAAUAAAUAGAUAGAUAAAUGUGGCUUCCAGGUGCAAAGGAAUCAAUAAUUCAAGGUAGAGGAAAAGGAAAUGGAUUGGUGGCAGUUGCUGUAGAAAAAGAUAAAAAAGGGAGCAGACAGGCUCUCAAAUGGGCUGCUGACACGCUUCUUUCCAGAGGCCAAACUCUUGUUCUCAUCCACGUCUUGCACACAACCUCCUCACCUUUUACCAGUAAUUCACCAACCAACAUAAACAUGAAUAUAUGUAACUGUAAUAAUCAUUCAUUCAACCUACUUCUCACUUUUCAAAUGUAUACAUUAUUAGGAGGCAUGCGCAGCACCAACUGGCCAAUUACAUCUCCCAAGAAAGACAAACUAGUCAACGUUACAAAGGAUCUAUUUGAAACCUUUCAUUGUUAUUGUUCACGCAAAGAUAUACACUGUCUUGAUGUCGUUCUCCAAGAUAUGGAUGUGGUGAAAGGAAUAACUGAAUAUGUCUAUUAUGCUGCAAUUGAGAACUUGGUGGUUGGUGCAGCCUCUAGGCAUGGCUUUAUUAGAUUCAAGACAAGUACACCAAGCAGCAUAUUAAAGGGAGCCCCGGAUUUCUGUAGUGUGUAUGUCAUUUCUAAGGGGAGAAUAUCUUCAGUUAGGAGUGCUGCUCGAAGGGCUCCACAUGCCUCCCCACUGCAGAGGCAAAUAGAAACUCUAAAUGAUGAGAAUGGAAGUGAAUAUGAUACACCCUCCUGUAGACGGUUGAGCUUCAAAAGCAACAGGGUAUCACCCAAACCGAUAGGCUUGCAAAGUGAAUCCAUGAACAAGAUACAAUCAGGCAGAAGAUCAGGGACGAUUGGAAGGUUAUCCAUGGAUUUCGCCGAACAUGACUCUGACAUAUCAUUUGUAAGCUCUGACAGGCCCAGCAGUGUGCGUUCAUCCUCUGUUUUCUAUGACCAUGUUGAAUGUGCCAGAAAUGGCCGAACUUCAACCAGUUCAGACCAUAGCUGGGGGUCAACAUACAUGAAACCGAAGUUCACCGAGCCCUGUUCACCGGACCAAUUAUUUUCAGAGGAAAGUAGCCGCACAUCACUUUCCAGUUUGCAACACAAUGAAGAAGUGGAAGCUGAUGUGAGGAGGUUGAGGCUGGAGUUAAAGCAAACAAUGGAAAUGUACAGUAAUGCAUGCAAAGAGGCCCUAACAGCGCAGCAGAAGUUACUGGAACUGCACAACUGGAGAAUUGAGGAAGAAAAGAAACUAGAGGAUGCACGGGUAAACCAGGAAGCAGCAGAGGAAAUUGCAGAGAAAGAGAAAGAAAAAAGUAAAGCAGCUAAGGAAACAGCAGAAAUGGCAAAGAGACUUGCAAGGCUGGAAACAAAGAGAAGAGCAAACGUGGAAGGGAAAUAUCUGAAAGAAGCAGAGGAAAUGAGGAAAGCGUUGAAAAAUCUACAAGAGACAGAUAAAAGAUACAGGAAAUACACAUUGGAGGAGAUUGAAAAGGCAACAAACGAGUUUUCUGAAGCACAGAAAAUAGGGGAAGGGGGAUAUGGUCCCGUGUACAAGUGUUACCUCGAUCACACAGCAGUGGCAGUGAAGGUUCUGCGAGCAGGAUCAGCACAGGGGGAGACACAAUUUCAGCAAGAACUGAACAUACUCGGGACCAUAAGACAUCCCAACAUGGUGCUUCUGGUAGGAGCGUGUCCGGAAGAGGGAGUGCUGAUAUACGAAUACAUGGAGAAUGGAAGCUUGGAAGACUGUCUGUUCGGAAAGAAGGAGGAGAUGAUGAGUUGGGAGUUGAGGUUUGAAAUAGCGGCGGAGAUAGCGACGGGGCUGUUGUUCCUGCAUCAAACAAAGCCAGAACCGCUGGUGCACAGAGACCUGAAGCCCGCAAAUAUAUUGCUGGAUCACAACUAUGUGAGCAAGAUAAGCGACGUGGGACUGGCCAGGCUUCUGCCUGCAGCGGUGGCGGAGAACGAGACGCAGUGCCGAAUGACUGCCGCAGCAGGAACCUUCUGCUACAUCGAUCCCGAGUACCAGCAGACCGGAAUGCUGGGAGUUAAGUCGGAUGUGUAUUCUCUGGGAAUCGUUAUUCUUCAGCUAUUGACGGGAAGGCCCGCCAUGGGCCUGGCCCACCAGGUCGAACAAUCCAUCCAGAAGGAGACCUUUGCCCAGAUUCUGGACCCAUCCGUCCCGAACUGGCCCCUCACAGAGGCCCUCUCCCUUGCCAACUUGGCCCUCCAGUGCGCGCAGCUCAGCCGGAAGGACCGCCCUGACCUUGCCACCGUCCUCCUCCCUCAGCUCCAAAUUCUCAGAGACUUUGCCCGCCACCACCAUCAACAGCCUCCCCAGGAACAGGAAGUCCUCAGCGAGCCCAAUUCUCAACACUCCGGAAGCCCAUCCACCCCUUCCCCCUCGUCAACCCCAACAGAAGACCAACCCAUACAAGAUAAUACCACCUAGCCAAGUGUAUAAACGGUUUCUAAAUUGUUAGAAUUCAAUUUAGAUGAUAUUUCAUUAGGUUUCCAGAAGCCUUUGGGUGGAUUUUCAACUCUUUUUUACUUACUGUCUGGGACACAAGCAACCUUUUGGUUUUCUGCUGUGAUUAAAUUUGAUAAAUGAGCAGAAGACAUUUCAAGUUCAAGAGACAAUUUUGGACAAAGCUAGGAAGUGUUUGUUGCAGAUGUAUAUUUCGAUAUAUAUUUUCUUAUAUAAAACUUUGUUUUGUAUAAACUCUUUGCUGGAUAUAUUAUAACUGAAUUUUAUA
RNA transcript from Vigna angularis (adzuki bean), 3411 nucleotides. It is a transcript of the gene named U-box domain-containing protein 52, with no coding region annotated. The record is from RefSeq and is a predicted model, not a curated record. NCBI's taxonomy places the organism in Eukaryota, Viridiplantae, Streptophyta, Magnoliopsida, Fabales, Fabaceae. The transcript is spliced from 10 exons.